GAUGAUAUUAUCAAAUGUGUAUUCAGCUAUUUAUAAUGAUAUCAGUUUGUCUAGUAGGAAAUGCCAUUAAUAUGUGUAUCACUGUAAUUGUUUGUGUGAGAGUAAUGCGUGCAUAAGGUCAUCCGAGGGAGGAGUCCGAGAUGCCAGACUUUCGGUUUUGCAGCGUUGAUACGUUUGUUUUAAAAUGGUUACUAGAGUGUCGAGAGAUUAACUUUAUUCAUGUGAACUUUUAAUUUUGGAAAUUAUUAUUAAUUGUAUUUUUUUUUUACACAUAAACAUAUUGACCAUUGUAAAAAUUUAGUAAAUUUUUGUUUUGUGGGCGGGAUGUUAUGUAUCAGCAAGGAAUUGUAUAUUUAAAAGGAAUGGAAACGCGGCCGACUUCAAAGAAAAUAUUAUGAUGCAUCUCUUGCUUUGACCGGGUGUUAAUUACACCCCAUCACUCUAACUGGCUCAUUACUUAUCUGGUAGAAGUUAUCGAACGUGGUCAUUUAAUCUGACACUAGUUAUCUAACUUGACAAUGAUAUUUUUUUCUUCUUAGGCAUGUUUCUGUAAUAAAAAAUAAUGACUAAAACAUCAUUCUAAGGGGCAUUCUGUUUCAAUUUGCUUGGCGUAAAAUAAAUCAUAUUAUUGUUAUUUUUGAAGAUAAUUCGAAAGUAGAGUAACGGUACUUACAUUGUGUAGUACGAACGUGGUAAAGUAGCUAAGUGAUAAAUCAUGAAACGAAAAAUAAAUUAAUCCAAGAAAAAAAAAUAUAACAAUACAACCACAUGC
Molecule: long non-coding RNA, 772 nt
Filed under: Mytilus galloprovincialis (Mediterranean mussel)
Lineage: Eukaryota; Metazoa; Mollusca; Bivalvia; Mytilida; Mytilidae
Source: RNAcentral